This 497-nucleotide ribosomal RNA is filed under the name uncultured bacterium. Its description in RNAcentral is "partial 16S ribosomal RNA". It matches the Rfam family "Bacterial small subunit ribosomal RNA", at positions 28 to 507 of the family's 1533-position model. The record is from RNAcentral.
GAUGAACGCUGGCGGCGUGCCUAAUACAUGCAAGUCGAGCGAACAGACGAGGAGCUUGCUCCUCUGACGUUAGCGGCGGACGGGUGAGUAACACGUGGAUAACCUACCUAUAAGACUGGGAUAACUUCGGGAAACCGGAGCUAAUACCGGAUAAUAUAUUGAACCGCAUGGUUCAAUAGUGAAAGACGGUUUUGCUGUCACUUAUAGAUGGAUCCGCGCCGGAUUAGCUAGUUGGUACGGUAACGGCUUACCAAGGCUACGAUGCGUAGCCGACCUGAGAGGAUGAUCGGCCACACUGGAACUGAGACACGGUCCAGACUCCUACGGGAGGCAGCAGUAGGGAAUCUUCCGCAAUGGGCGAAAGCCUGACGGAGCAACGCCGCGUGAGUGAUGAAGGUCUUCGGAUCGUAAAACUCUGUUAUUAGGGAAGAACAAAUGUGUAAGUAACUAUGCACGUCUUGACGGUACCUAAACAGAAAGCCACGGCUAACUACGUG